CCGGGAUCCCCACAUCCCUUUGCGCGGUGUCUGGAGGGGUGGGUGCUGUCCAGCGGUCAACAAAUGACUGAAUGAAGAAGCCACGGUGCUCAACUCUGGCGCUCCCCCCCCCCUGAAUCAGUUUCCACUCUGUGAUCUGGAACAAUGUCCCGCCCACAGCACGACGUCACGAGUAACAGCCUAUCACGUUGAAGGCUGCUGUGUACACAGACGGUGGACGAGGGUAGCGCCAUUUAACGGGUGGAGCUGUGUGUCGAAGGCUUCUCUCUGGAGGUCUAACAAGUUAAGAGCGUUUUGUGUUGGCCCCUGAGCCUCUCUUCUGAUUGGCUGAGUGUUCCCUGAGUGAUGCAGGCCAUGGCCAACCACAGUAUUUUCUGUGGUGAAAGAAGUUCAAUAUCACUGCAGGGAACGAGAGUGUGCUUCAGCUGGACUCUUCCCAACAAAUUUCUUCAUCUGUUUAAUCAAGAAAUAGUCACUGGUCUGCAGCUACAUUUCAGAAAUAACA
Long non-coding RNA from Seriola aureovittata, 505 nucleotides. RefSeq lists it as uncharacterized. The record is from RefSeq and is a predicted model, not a curated record. The transcript has 4 exons. NCBI's taxonomy places the organism in Eukaryota, Metazoa, Chordata, Actinopteri, Carangiformes, Carangidae.